GUUGUAUGGUUAAGUGACGAAGCGUAUACGGUGGAUGCCUUGGCAGUUAGAGGCGAUGAAGGACGUGUAAGUCUGCGAAAAGCUGUGGUGAGCCGACAAAAUGCAUUUGAGCCACAGAUGUCCGAAUGGGGAAACCCACCUAUUUAUAGGUAUCGUUGCAUGAAUACAUAGUGUAACGAGGCAAACGAGGGGAACUGAAACAUCUAAGUACCCUUAGGAAAAGAAAUCAACCGAGAUUCCCCUAGUAGCGGCGAGCGAACGGGGAGCAGCCCUUAAGCUGUUUAGAAUUUAGUGGAAUCCUUUGGGAAGAGGAGCGAUACAGGGUGAUAGCCCCGUACACGACGGAUUCUUUACAGUGAAAUCGAGUAGGUCGGGACACGUGUUAUCUUGACUGAAUAUGGGGGGACCAUCCUCCAAGGCUAAAUACUCCUAACUGACCGAUAGUGAACCAGUACCGUGAGGGAAAGGCGAAAAGAACCCCUGUGAGGGGAGUGAAAUAGAACCUGAAACCGUAUACGUACAAGCAGUGGGAGCCCUUCGGGGUGACUGCGUACCUUUUGUAUAAUGGGUCAGCGACUUAUAUUUAGUAGCAAGGUUAAGUGAAUAACGGAGCCGUAGCGAAAGCGAGUGUUAACUGCGCGUUUAGUUGCUAGGUAUAGACCCGAAACCCGGUGAUCUAGCCAUGGGCAGGUUGAAGGUUGAGUAACAUCAACUGGAGGACCGAACCCACUAACGUUGAAAAGUUAGGGGAUGACCUGUGGCUGGGGGUGAAAGGCCAAUCAAACCGGGAGAUAGCUGGUUCUCCCCGAAAUCUAUUUAGGUAGAGCCUCGGACGAAUUCCAUUGGGGGUAGAGCACUGUUAAGGCUAGGGGGUCAUCCCGACUUACCAACCCUUUGCAAACUCCGAAUACCAAUGAGAACUAUCCGGGAGACACACGGCGGGUGCUAACGUCCGUCGUGGAGAGGGAAACAACCCAGACCGCCAGCUAAGGUCCCAAAAUAUUGCUAAGUGGGAAACGAUGUGGGAAGGCAUAGACAGCUAGGAGGUUGGCUUAGAAGCAGCCACCCUUUAAAGAAAGCGUAAUAGCUCACUAGUCGAGUCGGCCUGCGCGGAAGAUGUAACGGGGCUAAGCAAUAUACCGAAGCUGCGGCAGCAUGUUUACAUGCUGGGUAGGGGAGCGUUGUGUAAGUGGAUGAAGGUGAGUUGUAAAGCUUGCUGGACAUAUCACAAGUGCGAAUGCUGACAUGAGUAACGAUAAUGGGAGUGAAAAACUCCCACGCCGGAAGACCAAGGUUUCCUGUCCCAUGCUAAUCAGGGCAGGGUAAGUCGGCCCCUAAGGCGAGGCAGAAAUGCGUAGUCGAUGGGAAACGGGUUAAUAUUCCCGUACUUAUAUAAUCAGUGAUGGAGGGACGGAGAAGGCUAGGCAAGCUUGGCGUUGGUUGUCCAAGUGAAAGUGCGUAGGCUGAGAACUUAGGUAAAUCCGGGUUUUCAAGGCCGAGACACGAGACGAGCUCCCAAGGGAGUGAAGUUGUUGAUGCCCUGCUUCCAGGAAAAGCUUCUAAACUUAUGAUUAUAUGAACCGUACCCCAAACCGACACAGGUGGUCAGGUAGAGAAUACUAAGGCGCUUGAGAGAACUCGGGUGAAGGAACUCGGCAAAAUUGUACCGUAACUUCGGGAGAAGGUACGCCUCUGUUUGUGAACACUUCGCGUGGUAAGCAAGUGGAGGCCGCAGUGACCAGGUGGCUGGGACUGUUUAUUAAAAACACAGCACUCUGCAAACUCGUAAGAGGACGUAUAGGGUGUGACACCUGCCCGGUGCCGGAAGGUUAAUUGAUGGGGUUAGUUUUCGGACGAAGCUCUUGAUCGAAGCCCCGGUAAACGGCGGCCGUAACUAUAACGGUCCUAAGGUAGCGAAAUUCCUUGUCGGGUAAGUUCCGACCUGCACGAAUGGUGUAACCAUGGCCACGCUGUCUCCACCCGAGACUCAGUGAAAUUGAAAUCGCAGUGAAGAUGCUGUGUACCCGCACCUAGACGGAAAGACCCCGUGAACCUUUACUACAGCUUGGCACUGAACAUUGAACCUACAUGUGUAGGAUAGGUGGGAGGCUUUGAAGCACAGUCGCUAGAUUGUGUGGAGCCGUCCUUGAAAUACCACCCUUGUAUGUUUGAUGUUCUAACAUUGGUCCCUAAUCGGGAUUGUGGACAGUGUCUGGUGGGUAGUUUGACUGGGGCGGUCUCCUCCCAAAUAGUAACGGAGGAGCACGAAGGUUAGCUAAUCACGGUCGGACAUCGUGAGGUUAGUGCAAUGGCAUAAGCUAGCUUAACUGCGAGACAGACACGUCGAGCAGGUACGAAAGUAGGUCAUAGUGAUCCGGUGGUUCUGUAUGGAAGGGCCAUCGCUCAACGGAUAAAAGGUACUCCGGGGAUAACAGGCUGAUACCGCCCAAGAGUUCAUAUCGACGGCGGUGUUUGGCACCUCGAUGUCGGCUCAUCACAUCCUGGGGCUGAAGUCGGUCCCAAGGGUAUGGCUGUUCGCCAUUUAAAGUGGUACGCGAGCUGGGUUUAGAACGUCGUGAGACAGUUCGGUCCCUAUCUGGUGUGGGCGUUGGAUGAUUGAUGGGAGCUGCUCCUAGUACGAGAGGACCGGAGUGGACGAACCGCUGGUGUUCGGGUUGUCAUGCCAAUGGCAUUGCCCGGUAGCUAUGUUCGGAACGGAUAACCGCUGAAAGCAUCUAAGCGGGAAGCCGGCCCAAAGAUGAGUCAUCCCUGAACUUUAAGUUCUGGAAGGGUUGUUAUAGACGAUGACGUUGAUAGGCAGGGUGUGGAAGCGUUGUAAGGCGUUAAGCUAACCUGUACUAAUUGCCCGAGAGGCUUAACCAUACAACGCCCAAGAAGCUUU
This 2902-nucleotide ribosomal RNA is filed under the name Alteromonas sp. V450. RNAcentral describes it as "bacterial LSU rRNA". It matches the Rfam family "Bacterial large subunit ribosomal RNA". Lineage: Bacteria; Pseudomonadati; Pseudomonadota; Gammaproteobacteria; Alteromonadales; Alteromonadaceae. The record is from RNAcentral.